AGCGGUGUAGCUCAGUGGUAGAGUGCUUGCCUAUCCUGUGCAAGACCCUGGGUUCAGUCCCCAGCCCUGCAA
This 72-nucleotide transfer RNA is filed under the name Marmota marmota marmota (Alpine marmot). It matches the Rfam family "tRNA". Rfam says of the family: Transfer RNA (tRNA) molecules are approximately 80 nucleotides in length. Their secondary structure includes four short double-helical elements and three loops (D, anti-codon, and T loops). RNAcentral also lists the same sequence under 2 other names. Lineage: Eukaryota; Metazoa; Chordata; Mammalia; Rodentia; Sciuridae. The record is from Rfam by way of RNAcentral.